UACCGUGAGGGCGCAAGCGGUUAGUCCGGAAUUAUUGGGCGUUAAAGACGGCUCUGUUGAUGGACGGGUUUGUCGCGUCAUGCCGUGAAAGUCCGGGGCUCAAACUCCGGGAUCUGCGGUGGGUACGGGCAGACUAGAGGUGAUGUAGGGGAGACUGGAAAUUCCUGGUGUAGCGGUGAAAAUGCGCAGAUAUCAGGAGGAACACCGAUGGCGAAGGCAGGUCUCUGGGCACUUAACUGACGCUGAAGGACGAAAGCUGGAGAGCGAACAGG
This 272-nucleotide ribosomal RNA is filed under the name uncultured bacterium. RNAcentral describes it as "partial 16S ribosomal RNA". It matches the Rfam family "Bacterial small subunit ribosomal RNA", at positions 522 to 776 of the family's 1533-position model. The record is from RNAcentral.